This 1404-nucleotide long non-coding RNA is filed under the name Aquilegia coerulea. Its description in RNAcentral is "long non-coding RNA (ACOE_LNC001784)". Lineage: Eukaryota; Viridiplantae; Streptophyta; Magnoliopsida; Ranunculales; Ranunculaceae. The record is from RNAcentral.
UAAAGACUGUCAUUUGAAUGAAAGCCAUGUACAAUUGCAUCAAUCUAUUAGAAGCUUAAUCCAUACAAAAUUUUUUCUUUAAAAUAACUUAAAUGAACAAAAUUUCUUGCAUCUCUCUUAGAGUGGCUCCAAAGAACUUUCCCAUCUGAUUUGUUGUAAUAUACUGAUGAUGUCUCCAUUACACAUUUUGAUUUUAGUACAUGAUACAAUUUUGGAAUUGAUUUCUUAUAACAAAAUUUCUAAUUAUUACACAUUUUGGUAUGGAAAUCACUUGUACGUGUUCGGUUUAUUUUCAUGUCUCAGAAGUAGUCUAAUUAGGAUCUUUGGGGCUGGACAGGUAUGGAGCCAAGGUACUGGUGAUCAUCAUGAUUAAAAACACUAAUUUUUAUAUGAAUCAUGUUUAAUUAUCCCUAUUUGGUAUGACCUUCUCUUUUUCUGCAGCAACCUCUGCCAACUUUUUCUGUUCCUUGGCGCAAUCUCCAUUGUGGCGGUGCUCUGACAUUUGUUUUUUUUAUCAGCGUACCUCAAAGAACAGGCACCAAAAAUAUACCAGCUCUGUGGGUUUCUCAAAAUUCAUUUCUGGCAGCUCCUUUCUGUGUCACUUAUGCCUGCCUCCUGCAAUUUAUUUAUUGUAAUAAUAGCUUAGGAACUCAAUUUGAGUUUAAUAGCUUAGUGUUGACAUUUUCUUCUGUUGUGGUAAAGUGAUUAUCUAGCUAUUAUGAUCAGUUAAUAUCAAUAUGAAUUUAACUGGAAUCCUAAAUACUAUUUUUAUUAUCAUGAAAUCAUGUAGAAAUCUAGUCUAUGUUUUCAAUUAUAACAUCAAAAAAGCGAACAUAGUAACACAAAUUUUGGUUAAAGCCGGUAAUAUAAUUACCGCACUUUAUUCUUUAUGCAACCAGAAUCAUGCAUGCUUCAAAAAUUUCUAAAUAGCCAUAUAUAAAUGCAUUUAGCUUCAACAUACCACAAGGUGAAAGGAAAGUAACAACAUAUACAGUAUAUGUAUAUAGAUUUAUAUGCAUUUUACUUACUGAGCAACAGGGAGAUGCAUGGAUUCGACAGAUGAUUAUAAAAUAAUCUGUCAACGUAACAUUAACCAUAUUACAGAAAUAUUAGAUAUGUUAAGAUCAAAAUCGGGUUACCGGCCUCUCUAAAUACGUGGGGAAAAAGGCACAUACCCUUCAAGUCUUCAACUGUGCAUGAUGAUCGAUCAUGAUGAUAUGCAGCACCUCCACAGGACAGAAGGACAAAAAGGAUGCUAUGAAGGAUGAGAAAAACCGAAAUAGAUUCAUGUAGCCAAGUGGGGAGGUGAAAUUGAGAGGAUAGAUCAUUAUAACAUCUAUUAAAACAAUAUAACAAAAACAUGAUUAUAAAAUGGAUGAGGCUUUUGAAUUAGAAUUAACAAGC